AGCUCCAAUAGCGUAUAUUAAAGUUGUUGCAGUUAAAAAGCUCGUAGUUGGAUAUCUGGUGGGAGCAAUGGGUCUCGCGCUUAGCGCGGGUACUUCAAUUGACUCCGGCCAUCCUUGGGGAGAGCCCGUCUGGCAUUAGGUUGUCGGGCGGGGGAUCCCCAUCGUUUACUGUGAAAAAAUUAGAGUGUUCAAAGCAGGCUUAUGCCGCUGAAUAUAUUAGCAUGGAAUAAUAAGAUAGGACUUUGGUACUAUUUUGUUGGUUUGUGUACCUAAGUAAUGAUUAAUAGGAACAGUCGGGGGUAUUCAUAUUCCGUUGUCAGAGGUGAAAUUCUUGGAUUUACGGAAGAUGAACUACUGCGAAAGCAUUUACCAAGGAUGUUUUCAUUA
Molecule: ribosomal RNA, 387 nt
Filed under: Gymnodinium sp.
Lineage: Eukaryota; Dinophyceae; Gymnodiniales; Gymnodiniaceae
Also listed under: 1 other name
Description: SSU rRNA
Rfam family: Eukaryotic small subunit ribosomal RNA
Source: RNAcentral